UGAGGAAUUUUGCGCAAUGGCCGCAAGGCUGACGCAGCAACGCCGCGUGGGUGAUGAAGGCCUUCGGGUCGUAAAGCCCUGUCAGGUGGGAAGAAUGUCCCGGAACUGAACAGGUUUCGGGAGUGACGGUACCACCAGAGGAAGCACCGGCUAACUCCGUGCCAGCAGCCGCGGUAAUACGGAGGGUGCAAGCGUUAUUCGGAAUUACUGGGCGUAAAGCGCGUGUAGGCGGUCCUGCAAGUCUGAUGUGAAAGCCCCGGGCUUAACCCGGGAAGUGCAUUGGAAACUGCAGGUCUUGAGUACUGGAGAGGAUGGGGGAAUUCCCGGUGUAGAGGUGAAAUUCGUAGAGAUCGGGAGGAAUAUCAGUGGCGAAGGCGCCCAUCUGGACGGUAACUGACGCUGAGACGCGAAAGCGUGGGGAGCAAACA
RNAcentral lists this ribosomal RNA (428 nucleotides) under uncultured prokaryote. RNAcentral describes it as "bacterial SSU rRNA". It matches the Rfam family "Bacterial small subunit ribosomal RNA", at positions 355 to 774 of the family's 1533-position model. The record is from RNAcentral.